AUUGAACGCUGGCGGCAGGCCUAACACAUGCAAGUCGAGCGGAUGAGUGGAGCUUGCUCCAUGAUUCAGCGGCGGACGGGUGAGUAAUGCCUAGGAAUCUGCCUGGUAGUGGGGGACAACGUUUCGAAAGGAACGCUAAUACCGCAUACGUCCUACGGGAGAAAGUGGGGGAUCUUCGGACCUCACGCUAUCAGAUGAGCCUAGGUCGGAUUAGCUGGUUGGUGAGGUAAAGGCUCACCAAGGCGACGAUCCGUAACUGGUCUGAGAGGAUGAUCAGUCACACUGGAACUGAGACACGGUCCAGACUCCUACGGGAGGCAGCAGUGGGGAAUAUUGGACAAUGGGCGAAAGCCUGAUCCAGCCAUGCCGCGUGUGUGAAGAAGGUCUUCGGAUUGUAAAGCACUUUAAGUUGGGAGGAAGGGCAGUAAGUUAAUACCUUGCUGUUUUGACGUUACCAACAGAAUAAGCACCGGCUAACUUCGUG
This 484-nucleotide ribosomal RNA is filed under the name uncultured bacterium. RNAcentral describes it as "partial 16S ribosomal RNA". It matches the Rfam family "Bacterial small subunit ribosomal RNA", at positions 30 to 507 of the family's 1533-position model. The record is from RNAcentral.